UACGUAGGGUGCAAGCGUUAAUCGGAAUUACUGGGCGUAAAGCGUGCGCAGGCGGUUUUGUAAGUCUGACGUGAAAGCCCCGGGCUCAACCUGGGAAUGGCGAUGAAGACUGCAAGGCUUGAAUCUGGCAGAGGGGGGUAGAAUUCCACGUGUAGCAGUGAAAUGCGUAGAGAUGUGGAGGAACACCGAUGGCGAAGGCAGCCCCCUGGGUCAAGAUUGACGCUCAUGCACGAAAGCGUGGGGAGCGAACAGG
RNAcentral lists this ribosomal RNA (253 nucleotides) under uncultured bacterium. RNAcentral describes it as "partial 16S ribosomal RNA". It matches the Rfam family "Bacterial small subunit ribosomal RNA", at positions 524 to 776 of the family's 1533-position model. The record is from RNAcentral.